This 664-nucleotide ribosomal RNA is filed under the name Thalassiosira gravida. RNAcentral's name for it is "partial Bacterial large subunit ribosomal RNA". It matches the Rfam family "Bacterial large subunit ribosomal RNA", at positions 2257 to 2925 of the family's 2925-position model. The record is from RNAcentral. Lineage: Eukaryota; Bacillariophyta; Thalassiosirophyceae; Thalassiosirales; Thalassiosiraceae.
CCUGGUGGGUAGUUUAACUGGGGCGGUUGCCUCCUAAAAUGUAACGGAGGCGCCCAAAGGUUUCCUCAGCCUGGUUGGUAAUCAGGUGGUGAGUGUAAGUGCACAAGGGGGCUUGACUGUGAGACUGACAGGUCGAGCAGGGACGAAAGUCGGGACUAGUGAUCUGACGGUGGCUUGUGGAUGCGCCGUCACUCAACGGAUAAAAGGUACCCCGGGGAUAACAGGCUGAUCUUCCCCAAGAGUCCAUAUCGACGGGAUGGUUUGGCACCUCGAUGUCGGCUCGUCGCAUCCUGGGGCUGGAGUAGGUCCCAAGGGUUGGGCUGUUCGCCCAUGAAAGCGGUACGCGAGCUGGGUUCAGAACGUCGUGAGACAGUUCGGUCCAUAUCCGGUGUAGGCGUUAGAAUAUUGAGAGGAGCCUUCUUUAGUACGAGAGGACCGAGAAGGACAUACCUCUGGUGUACCAGUUAUCGUGCCAACGGUAAACGCUGGGUAGCUAUGUAUGGAGUGGAUAACCGCUGAAAGCAUCUAAGUGGGAAGCCCACCUCAAGAUAAGUAUUCUCAUCACGUAAGUGAGUAAGGUCACGGUAAGACUAACCGUUUGAUAGGCAUUAAGUGUAAGUACAGUAAUGUAUGUGCUGAGAUGUCCUAAUAGACCGAGGACUUG